This is a long non-coding RNA of Lytechinus variegatus (green sea urchin), 875 nucleotides long. RefSeq lists it as uncharacterized. The record is from RefSeq and is a predicted model, not a curated record. The transcript is spliced from 2 exons. NCBI's taxonomy places the organism in Eukaryota, Metazoa, Echinodermata, Echinoidea, Temnopleuroida, Toxopneustidae.
UAUAUAAGAUUCUGUAAAAAGUCAUUUUGAGAUCGUUACCAAAUCUGGAAUUUAUCUUUAAAAUGAAAAUACAAGGGAAUACAUAUGGAAUAAUAUGGAGAUUUAAUGCAAAGUAUUAUUUCUAUUUCCACUAAAACAAAGUCAAAAUUAGAGAAUGAUGUAACAUGACAUUAUUAUAUCAAUAUUUGCUAUACCACAUUAUUUCCAUGAAUUUCAGUAUUCAUAGCAAUGACACCAUAAAACUUAUGCAUAAAGUUAUUUACCCUAUGCUAUUCAAGCAAUGGUCCUAGUCAUUAAUAAAUCUUGUUUUUAUUUACAAUAAUUAUAUAAUUUUAAUAUCACAGAAGUCAGAUGAUAUAUACACUAUUGAAAUGAAUGUUUAGCAUACACUAUUUCAAAUAGAAUAUUUUGAUAUAUUGAUACAUAAAUGAAGAAUGAUUGUCGUUUACUAAAAUAAUGAUAUAAUGCAAGGUUUUAUAAAUGCAAAGCACUAAGAUUUAUAGACACAUGCUUUAAGAAAGUGCCUUUUCUAUUGUUUAUAUUAUGAGUGUUGCCUUCUUUCAUUACUCAGAAACAGAGCACACCAUUAUGUUUUAUUACUUUGUUGUUGUUUUUACUCAGAAUAAAUGAAGGCGUUGAAUUAUCUUUUUACAACAAUUGAUUUAUUUUCUUUCGUGAACACGAUUGAAUGUUCAUUCAUUUAUCAAUUUCUUAAUGUUUAUUUAUGACAUUAUUAGUUAAAAUACUAUUGUUAUAUUCGUUUGAAAGAUAGAGAAAUACAUCGGACUUUGACAUUCGACAUUCAGAAUGAGUAUGAUCCCAUUUUACAGCUUGGAGUCAUAGUACAUCCAUCGGCGGUGAGACACAAGUGAUUU